Cricetulus griseus (Chinese hamster) is the source of this 3739-nucleotide non-coding RNA. The record is from RefSeq and is a predicted model, not a curated record. NCBI's taxonomy places the organism in Eukaryota, Metazoa, Chordata, Mammalia, Rodentia, Cricetidae.
AGGGGAGACAGGGGAGGGUUUUCUGGCAAGCUUGACUCAAGUGGUCUACUGGCCUGCGUUCUGGCCUGUGGGCAAUAAGCAAAUACAGCACCACAGUCCCAAGGAGAAGAAGCCUCUCUCAUCAGGCAGAUCCAGUAAAAGCUAGCAUCUGAGUGUACAUCCGGUCCGGAACCUUCUCUACCACCCUGCUGCAGCAUGGUUAUCUGUUCCGUGUGUGUCCACACAGUGUACGGUACAGGCUUAGAGAGAAAGAAAAUUUACCCAAAAGAAAGUAGGGGAGAGGACAGAGGAGAGAGAACGAAAGAGAAGAAGAAUUCCCUCUCAGGGGUAUAUUAGUUGUUUUAGAAAGGAUGGUCUCUGUGUGUCGCCGGGGGUACUGGUAAAAAGGGGCAAUUCACAACCUACUUCAGGGAGAGUCCAACACACAAGGGCAGACCUUAGCUAACCUCGGAACUUACAGAGGGGCUCCCUACCCUCUGGUAGCCAAAGGUUAUAGUCAACAAGGAGCCCCAACAGCAGAUGGGAAGAAGGGGGAAAGGCUGGGGUUGUCUUUCACGCUUAGUCCAAGUCUCAGCUCUGCCCAGACCCCACCAUUAAGGCUUCAUCUUUUCAAGAUGCUGCCAGUCAUCCAUUCUCUGCCCCUCAAAACCACAGAUCCACAGGAACCCCUAGGCGGCUGCUCUGAAGGGCGCACCACCCCGCACCUGCCCACACCUCCCUAAAGCUCUUUGACGUGGCCAGCAAGCUCCGGAGAAGCUGCUAGAAGGCACGAGUCAUUAGAGACCUGCAAACAAACCACAGUGGCAUACCACUUCACAUCCGUUAGGUCGGCCACAGACAGGAAAAGGGGCAAAUAGCAAGUCUUGGCAAAGGUCUGCUGGCUGGUAGGAAUGUAAAAUCACUCAGUGGCUUUACAAAGGUCUGACAGCUCCUCAAAGUUAAAAAUAGUUACCUGAUGACUGAGCCAUUCCGCCCCAGGCAUAUGCCCCACGGAACUGAAAACAUGAACUCAAAUAAACACUUGUAAAUGAAUGCUCACAGCAGCACUUGCCAUGACAGCCAAAGAGUAGCAACAGCUUAGGUGUCUACCAACUGACAAAUGAAUAAACACUGGAAUCUACCCACACAAUGGAAUUAUUGAACUAUGAAAAAUAAUGAAAGGGUGAAGCGGUGAUUCAAGGCAGCCAAGGUGACCCUAGCAGGAACCAACUCAAAGAAAUAAACCAAAACAAACAUUCAAACAAAAUGAAUUUUGGCAUAUACUAUACCACUGGGUAGAUCUUUAAAAUGGUAAUACUAAAAGAUGCUAAAUAAAAGCCUUGCAUGAAAUCUUACACAGACAAUUCCAUACAUGUGAACCAUCCAGCGGAGUUUCAUCCAUAGCGAUGAGAAGCCGACUGGUGUUGCCAGGGGCUGGAAGAAGGAGGGGGACCAUGAGGUGUAUUGACUGUGUAUAUGGCUUCCUUUGGGGGUGAUGAUAAUGUCUUGGAAGUAUGCAGAAAUGACAGUCUCUCAUUAUGAAUGCACUCAAUGUCACUGAACUGUAUGCGUCCAUAAGGUUAAUGGUUAGUUCUAUGUCAAUUCGACAUCAAUUGUGUGUGUGUCACACCAACCCUUUAUGAGGCCAUCCUAAUUCAAGGGAGUUGUGUGUUUUCUACUGGAACAAAACAGCCUAUUACCUGGCCUGCGGAAUUACAGUUGUGACCCAGUACACUUCCCUCCUGUCUCCUUUAAGUCAGCCUAGUUCCUUGCAACCAAAGGCUUCUGAAUGGACAGUGCCCGCAAUGGCUUCCCUACUGUGUGACCCCAGAGAAAUGUUUCUCUUCUCUUGAGUCUUCUUCAGAUCUUCAUCAGCCCAGUAAACAGGGCUGAUCAUACCCAUUUCCUUAGGUUGCUUUUAGAUUAUUACAACAGCUCCUAUGAGAAUAUUAGGUGGAGUGCCGAGGGUGACUUCAUUCAUUCCUUGUGAUAUAAAUUAUGGUUCUCUCUCAGUGGCAGUAUUAACCGUCUGGAAGAACUGGUGUCAGGCUCACAUGAACAGGAAUGGCAGCUGUGUCACCAGCUUGCUGGAAGCUGAACUUGAACUCUGUCUCUCAACUGUGACCUUGGGAAAAUUGCUGCUCAGAGACUUAGUUCACUCACCUAUGAAAUAGGAAUAAUUAUAAGCAAGGAUAGGACAUAUCAGUAUUGGGGACGUGUAAGCUGUUAUCGUCAUUGUCAUAGAACAUAAAUACAGGGCCUAGGCACUGGCCAGUGGAGUUCAAGUUUACUUUGUCCAUGGCCUCCCUCCUUCCUUCUUGCCGGCAACUGCUUACAGAGUGUCUUCAUCACCAAGCGUCGUCACAGAGUCUUGGCUCAAGCAGAACUUUAGCUCCCCUAGACCAGGAGUUGGACAGCUAUGUCCCUGGUCACAAGCAUGGAUUCCAAGGAGUUUUCUGCUUCUCCACACCAAACAUGUCCACUCUUUCAACCAGGCCUUACCUACUGGGUUUUACAGCCACCUUAGGUUUCCUGGGUACACCACCAGACUACAUUUCCCAGACUCCUUUGACACGGAGGGUAAUAAUGGGUCAGAGUUCUAGCUGGGGAAGAAGGUGUGAGUCAUUCAGGGCUUUUAAGAUGGGGGUGUGUCUCUUCUGGCUCUUUCUACUCUGCCAAGGAAUGAACAAUAUGAGAAACUUUAAGGCCACAAAAGCAGAAGAGGCCUAUGUUCAAGUGUGAGCAUGAAAGGAAUCAGAAAUACCGAUUUUGAAGAAGAAGAAGAAGAAAAUAACUUCACAUUUUAGAAACACCGUAGGGGCUUUUUGUUGCUACAGAUACAGUUGCUUUAUUAGUUGACUGAACUGAAUUUUAUGCAAGAUAUCAUGAAUACACCCCAAAACUGUAUCUGAACGCAUCCUAAUGUUAGAACCCGUGGAUUUAAAUACCACAGCACUAAAAUUUGCUCUGGCAAGGUCACAGAAAACUAACGAAGACAAAGCAUCAUGAACAGCAAAAACAUCCAUGACAGCAUGUCAGACAUUUGAAGAAAAGCUUGGCCAAGGAAGGUUCACUGAGAAACAGACAGGGCGAGGUCCAUGAUACACGAACUGGGAUGCUCAAAAAUAGCUCCUGUAUGGACAAACAUCCUUCUCCCUUCUCAAGUAGACUAAUAUGUGUGGUGAUAUAUCGUUUAAGAUCUAAUAAAGCCACAGCCAUGGGGGCCAGGCAGUGUUGGCGCACACCUUUAAUCCCAGGACUCAGGAGACAGAAGAAGAUGGAUCUCUGUGAAUUCAAGGCCACCCUGGGAUAAAUGGGAGUGAAUCAGUCCAAAAGAGAAACAGAGACCACACCUUUAAUACCAGCACUGGAGAGAAUAUCAGGAGUUCAAUGCAGUCUCAAGAGCAAUCUGAGAUUUGAAGAGCAAUGAAGUCUGGAGGUUUGGUGGAUCACCCCUUUGGUUUGACAUUGGUAGAGCUGCUUUCUAGAUGACGACACUGAGGGCCUCAGAGGUUGGACAAGCAGGUUGAACUCACAGCCAACAGCAAAGUACCACGUCUAUGUAAAACCACAGUAGCAGGCAGUAGAACUGAAUUUCUCCAAGUGGCUUGGGUCAGUUUGAAGGCAUGUUUGAAGUAUAUACAUACAUACAUAUACUACUUCCUGGGAAAUUAUGUAUUAAAUUUCAAAAGGCAAAUAAAGAAACAUAUCUUUGGCCUAUCAACUAUACAAAAAAAAAAAAAAAAAAAAAAAAAAAAAA